UGUUAUAAAUCCAUGGACUAGAAACCCUUUACAUUUUACAGAGAGAAACUAAAGAAACCUGGAAAGCAGGAGCACUAAUGGAUCACUCUAUUUUCCAAAGAAAUAGAUCACGGACAUACUCCUCUGGAGCACUGACAAUGGUCGAGGCCCCAGACGAAACACGGAAUGGCUUCAUCCCCACCCAGGCAGUCUAACACAGUCACCGGGCAGAGAGACAGAGUACGGGAUGCGACGAAAGGACAGGAAUCCACCGCGGGCUUGGAUGAGAUUUGGGAUUUCUGCUGUAGCACUUCAAGUGGCCAGAUCUGUGUGUAUUACAUGGGGCUAUGGAAUACCCAGAACAACACAUUGUACUGCCCCUGCCCGCCUCUCCCCGGCAGCGAAAAGUUAGAAAGACACUGA
Molecule: long non-coding RNA, 402 nt
Organism: Ornithorhynchus anatinus (platypus)
Lineage: Eukaryota; Metazoa; Chordata; Mammalia; Monotremata; Ornithorhynchidae
Exons: 2
Source: RefSeq, a predicted model, not a curated record